AUGCAGCUCCAUUUUUAAAACUAAUUGUUGCCACAGAUAGGCGACUACAUCUCUGGAAGCAGCAGCUCCAUGCUGGAUGUGGUGGAAGAAUCUAGAGGGAAUGGACUGGAAGUUUGGAAUCACCGGAAAAUAACAAGGCAUAGCUAAGCUGUGACUAGCAAGAUAAACGAUUUGUUCGAGGUUUGAUUGUCCUUUCCCUCCUCCAUUCGGAAGACAUAGUUGUCUUUUUUUUCAAUAAUGUUUUGUACCGAAAUAUUUUUAUUUUACAAUUGAAUCCCUGUUGUUCGGCCUUUAAAAACACAUAGAAACAUUGUUAUGUGCCACGAGGGUGGGAAACAUGGCUUUACUCAGUCAUUGCUGUACUCUCAUAAUUCUGGGUCAUGCACACAAUACAGGUUUAGUAAAUAAAAUCCGUAUGUUUUUGGCCCCA
RNAcentral lists this long non-coding RNA (430 nucleotides) under Pongo abelii (Sumatran orangutan). Its description in RNAcentral is "lincRNA". The record is from RNAcentral. Lineage: Eukaryota; Metazoa; Chordata; Mammalia; Primates; Hominidae.